GAUGAACGCUAGCGGCAGGCCUAAUACAUGCAAGUCGAACGGGUGGUCGCAAGACCACUAGUGGCGCACGGGUGCGUAACGCGUAACCAACCUGCCCCGAUCUGGGGGAUAGCCCGCCGAAAGGCGGAUUAAUACCGCAUAUACCCGCAGCCUGGCAUCAGGCAACGGGGAAAGAUUUAUUGGAUCGGGAUGGGGUUGCGUGACAUUAGCUAGUUGGCGGGGUAAGGGCCCACCAAGGCGACGAUGUCUAGGGGACCUGAGAGGGUGAUCCCCCACACUGGCACUGAGAUACGGGCCAGACUCCUACGGGAGGCAGCAGUAGGGAAUAUUGGGCAAUGGGCGAGAGCCUGACCCAGCCAUGCCGCGUGCCGGAUGAAGGCCCUCUGGGUUGUAAACGGCUUUUCUCAGGGAAGAAAAAGACCUUGCGAGGUACACUGACGGUACCUGAGGAAUAAGCACCGGCUAACUCCGUG
This 473-nucleotide ribosomal RNA is filed under the name uncultured bacterium. RNAcentral's name for it is "partial 16S ribosomal RNA". It matches the Rfam family "Bacterial small subunit ribosomal RNA", at positions 28 to 507 of the family's 1533-position model. The record is from RNAcentral.